AGUGAACGCUGGCGGUAGGCCUAACACAUGCAAGUCGAACGGCAGCACAGUAAGAGCUUGCUCUUACGGGUGGCGAGUGGCGGACGGGUGAGGAAUACAUCGGAAUCUACUUUUUCGUGGGGGAUAACGUAGGGAAACUUACGCUAAUACCGCAUACGACCUACGGGUGAAAGCAGGGGAUCUUCGGACCUUGCGCGAUUGAAUGAGCCGAUGUCGGAUUAGCUAGUUGGCGGGGUAAAGGCCCACCAAGGCGACGAUCCGUAGCUGGUCUGAGAGGAUGAUCAGCCACACUGGAACUGAGACACGGUCCAGACUCCUACGGGAGGCAGCAGUGAGGAAUAUUGGACAAUGGGCGCAAGCCUGAUCCAGCCAUACCGCGUGGGUGAAGAAGGCCUUCGGGUUGUAAAGCCCUUUUGUUGGGAAAGAAAAGCAGCAGGUCGAUACCCCGCUGUUCUGACGGUACCCAAAGAAUAAGCACCGGCUAACUUCGUG
This 492-nucleotide ribosomal RNA is filed under the name uncultured bacterium. RNAcentral's name for it is "partial 16S ribosomal RNA". It matches the Rfam family "Bacterial small subunit ribosomal RNA", at positions 29 to 507 of the family's 1533-position model. The record is from RNAcentral.